Molecule: transfer RNA, 73 nt
Filed under: Leptolyngbya sp. FACHB-16
Lineage: Bacteria; Bacillati; Cyanobacteriota; Cyanophyceae; Leptolyngbyales; Leptolyngbyaceae
Also listed under: 4 other names
Description: tRNA-Leu
Rfam family: tRNA
About the family: Transfer RNA (tRNA) molecules are approximately 80 nucleotides in length. Their secondary structure includes four short double-helical elements and three loops (D, anti-codon, and T loops). Further hydrogen bonds mediate the characteristic L-shaped molecular structure. tRNAs have two regions of fundamental functional importance: the anti-codon, which is responsible for specific mRNA codon recognition, and the 3' end, to which the tRNAs corresponding amino acid is attached (by aminoacyl-tRNA synthetases). tRNAs cope with the degeneracy of the genetic code in two manners: having more than one tRNA (with a specific anti-codon) for a particular amino acid; and 'wobble' base-pairing, i.e. permitting non-standard base-pairing at the 3rd anti-codon position.
Source: RNAcentral
UUACAUACUCGCCUAAUGGUAAGGCAACUGUCUCAAAAACAGUCAACUACAGGUUCGACUCCUGUGUGUGAAA